Molecule: non-coding RNA, 71 nt
Organism: Phycisphaerae bacterium SM23_30
Lineage: Bacteria; Pseudomonadati; Planctomycetota; Phycisphaerae
Source: Rfam
GGGGGCGUGGUGUAACGGGAGCACGGCGCGGUCGCAUCGCGCAGAUAGGGGUUCGAUUCCCCUCGCCUCCA